UAUCUUUUUUUGUUCAAAAAUUAUACCCACUUUUCAGUUACUUUACGGACACCCGGUAGUUAUCUAAGUACUCAUUCAGUUGUUUCUGUACUUUUUAAUGCCUUUUUUCCCUAUUAUCUUUAUUUCACAAUUGACAUCAGUGGAUGGAAUUUAAUGUUAUCACAGACUGUAUAUUACUGCUCCAAUAUACCACUUUUUGUUUCCUUCGUUAUUAACAGUUCCUGCUGGAGCAUAAUGAUCAAAGUCAUUGCUGAUAUUUAUUGAAUACUUACUUUAUCUGUGGAUAAUUUUCCCCAUUUUUCUUUUCCAGGGUCAAUUUUCAGCGUUUUGUUCCGAAGUGUGAUUUCAUCAAGAAUUCCUUAGUUUUUCAGGCUCUUCAAGAUGAAGCAAUCCGUAAAGAGAAGUCUGAA
This is a non-coding RNA of Bemisia tabaci, 410 nucleotides long. The record is from RefSeq and is a predicted model, not a curated record. Lineage: Eukaryota; Metazoa; Arthropoda; Insecta; Hemiptera; Aleyrodidae.